UCUUAUUUCAAUUAAACCUGAUAUCUAUCUCUGUAUCCUAUUCAAUCACUGAGCAAGAAUGAAAACAAAUGCUCAUAGCUUCACCAUGUCCCUAUGUCAUUUUAAGCAGAACCCAUAAACAGCUAAACUAUACCACAACCAAUGUGAAUUACUAUAUCAACCUAAUAUUUCGUUCCAUAACAAUUGAUGGAAAACAAACUUAUAAGAUCAUAACAAUUUUCAAUUUAUAGACUACAGUCAGCAUCUAUAGCAGUGUUAUUUACAGUCUACCUUUAAUUACAUCAAAUAAUCAACCAUAUGUGAAAAAGAUAUUCAAACGUAGCAGAGACACCAAACAGGAGAUCUAUCGCAUAAACUUCAACUUCAUUUCAUUUGUAUCAAAAGAGCUACAUUGAAACAGUCUCGAGCGUGUGUACCUGGCAGAGUGAAUUACAAAAUAGGAGAAACGUAGUCAACAGCAGCUUAAUGCAGCAAAAUGCUUAGUGAACCAGCAGUAACAAGAUACCCAGGAAUGCAAUCUAUGAACCCGGAAAACUUAGAAAUUCAACAGAAAAGACCACAACCUAGCAGGAAUAAACCUUAAUCCAAUUCAACCAAAAUCUCAAAUCAAGCUAUAAGAAAGAAAACCCAAGGAAAACCAGAAAUUGCUUACAACCAAUGAGCAGUGAACAUCUUUUUUGUUGUUUUCUAUUACUGUAUGCAUUUUUUUUGUAUUUUUUGGUGUAUUUGAACGCUGAAGCUAAUUUUGAAAGCUAAAAAUGAAAGGACAAGCAGAUUUUGUAGAAUUUUUUGAGCUCUAAUUCAAGACCAAACUGAAAUUGGAAAUGCAAGGAAAAUAUGAUUUUUGUUCUUGGAGUUUUUGGGGCUGAAAAGGUUAAAGACCUUCCCCAAGGCAUAAAAUGCC
RNAcentral lists this long non-coding RNA (904 nucleotides) under Nicotiana benthamiana. Its description in RNAcentral is "long non-coding RNA (NBEN_LNC005476)". Lineage: Eukaryota; Viridiplantae; Streptophyta; Magnoliopsida; Solanales; Solanaceae. The record is from RNAcentral.